AGAACGAACGCUGGCGGCAGGCCUAACACAUGCAAGUCGAACGCCCCGCAAGGGGAGUGGCAGACGGGUGAGUAACGCGUGGGAACGUGCCCUAAGGUACGGAACAACUCCGGGAAACUGGAGCUAAUACCGUAUGUGCCCGAGAGGGGAAAGAUUUAUCGCCUUGGGAUCGGCCCGCGUCUGAUUAGCUAGUUGGUAGGGUAACGGCCUACCAAGGCUACGAUCAGUAGCUGGUCUGAGAGGAUGACCAGCCACACUGGGACUGAGACACGGCCCAGACUCCUACGGGAGGCAGCAGUGGGGAAUAUUGGACAAUGGGCGAAAGCCUGAUCCAGCCAUGCCGCGUGAGUGAUGAAGGCCUUAGGGUUGUAAAGCUCUUUCGGUGGGGACGAUAAUGACGGUACCCGCAGAAGAAGCCCCGGCUAACUUCGUGCUAGCAGCCGC
Molecule: ribosomal RNA, 444 nt
Filed under: uncultured bacterium
Lineage: Bacteria
Description: SSU rRNA
Rfam family: Bacterial small subunit ribosomal RNA
Source: RNAcentral